UUAAGUAGAGGCGCGACAAACAUGAGUAACGUAUUCUGAGGCACUGACAGCCGGUACAGGGUACGCAAAAGGGGAUGUCGCCGAAGUGGAACGGAAUGUCAGACCGUUUUGGCUGGGUCUGCAGUGAAGAACUGCAGGACUGUCACCGGCAGGUGGAGUGCUACUUGG
Molecule: non-coding RNA, 168 nt
Filed under: uncultured Eubacterium sp.
Lineage: Bacteria; Bacillati; Bacillota; Clostridia; Eubacteriales; Eubacteriaceae
Description: Lysine riboswitch
Rfam family: Lysine riboswitch aptamer
About the family: Riboswitches are metabolite binding domains within certain messenger RNAs that serve as precision sensors for their corresponding targets. Allosteric rearrangement of mRNA structure is mediated by ligand binding, and this results in modulation of gene expression. This family includes riboswitches that sense lysine in a number of genes involved in lysine metabolism, including lysC.
Source: RNAcentral